Molecule: ribosomal RNA, 887 nt
Filed under: uncultured bacterium
Lineage: Bacteria
Description: bacterial SSU rRNA
Rfam family: Bacterial small subunit ribosomal RNA
Source: RNAcentral
GGGGGGAGGGCGCAGGCUACACAUGCAGUCGAGCGGGGGAAGGUAGCUUGCUACUGGACCUAGCGGCGGACGGGUGACUAUUGCUUAGGAAUCUGCCUAUUAGUGGGGGACAACAUCUCGACAGGGAUGCUAAUACCGCAUACGUCCUACGGGAGAAAGCAGGGGAUCUUCGGACCUUGCGCUAAUAGAUGAGCCUAAGUCGGAUUAGCUAGUUGGUGGGGUAAAGGCCUACCAAGGCGACGAUCUGUAGCGGGUCUGAGAGGAUGAUCCGCCACACUGGGACUGAGACACGGCCCAGACUCCUACGGGAGGCAGCAGUGGGGAAUAUUGGACAAUGGGCGCAAGCCUGAUCCAGCCAUGCCGCGUGUGUGAAGAAGGCCUUAUGGUUGUAAAGCACUUUAAGCGAGGAGGAGGCUACUUUAGAUAAUACCUAGAGAUAGUGGACGUUACUCGCAGAAUAAGCACCGGCUAACUCUGUGCCAGCAGCCGCGGUAAUACAGAGGGUGCAAGCGUUAAUCGGAUUUACUGGGCGUAAAGCGCGCGUAGGCGGCUAAUUAAGUCAAAUGUGAAAUCCCCGAGCUUAACUUGGGAAUUGCAUUCGAUACUGGUUAGCUAGAGUGUGGGAGAGGAUGGUAGAAUUCCAGGUGUAGCGGUGAAAUGCGUAGAGAUCUGGAGGAAUACCGAUGGCGAAGGCAGCCAUCUGGCCUAACACUGACGCUGAGGUGCGAAAGCAUGGGGAGCAAACAGGAUUAGAUACCCUGGUAGUCCAUGCCGUAAACGAUGUCUACUAGCCGGUGGGGCCUUUGAGGCUUUAGUGGCGCAGCUUACGCGAUAAGUAGAACGCCUGGGGAGUACGGGCGCAAGACUUAAACUCAAAUGAAUUGACG